RNAcentral lists this transfer RNA (75 nucleotides) under Tautonia plasticadhaerens. RNAcentral's name for it is "Planctomycetes bacterium ElP tRNA-Trp". The record is from RNAcentral. Lineage: Bacteria; Pseudomonadati; Planctomycetota; Planctomycetia; Isosphaerales; Isosphaeraceae.
UCACGGUGGUCGGGGAGCAGGAGGCGGCCAGCCUCCAGAGCAGGCGGACCCCCGGCUCGGCGUCGGGGCCGGGGA